CCAAAAGUGUGGAUAUAAAUUAGAUAAUUAAACUUUAUGACCACAAAAUCAAAAAUAUUACUAAGUGGAUAAUAAAUUAAGUUAAUAGUAUGUUAAUAUGGUCAUUUAUUUUUUGUAAAAGUUCAUGAAUGCUAUGCAAUAUUAAAUAAGGUUAUAAAUGGAAUCGAAUAUUUGGAUACAGAUCAGAUAGUUGUCUAUCCAUAUCCAUAUCCAUUUUUCUUUGACGGAUAUGGUUACGGGAUACUGAUAUUAGUUGGAUGCUUAAAUUUCUAUCCACAUCCGGAUAGAUUCAGAUACGAAAACGGAUCUGGAUGGUAUCCGAUCGAUAUUCAACCCUAAGAGGGCCCCAACGGACCUCUGUUUCUGUCUAAUACAAAGCACUGAAGAUGCCAAAAUCAAUAGUUUCAAUCUAUAAGCUCUUUGGAAACAAUUAGUUUUAGAGAUAUGGGCAUGCAUGUUUU
This 461-nucleotide long non-coding RNA is filed under the name Phoenix dactylifera (date palm). RNAcentral's name for it is "long non-coding RNA (PDAC_LNC016033)". Lineage: Eukaryota; Viridiplantae; Streptophyta; Magnoliopsida; Arecales; Arecaceae. The record is from RNAcentral.